This 179-nucleotide ribosomal RNA is filed under the name Ruellia sp. EAT-2007. RNAcentral's name for it is "5.8S ribosomal RNA". The stretch from base 49 to 179 matches the Rfam family "5.8S ribosomal RNA", at positions 1 to 136 of the family's 154-position model. Rfam says of the family: 5.8S ribosomal RNA (5.8S rRNA) is a component of the large subunit of the eukaryotic ribosome. Lineage: Eukaryota; Viridiplantae; Streptophyta; Magnoliopsida; Lamiales; Acanthaceae. The record is from RNAcentral.
CCGCGGUGCGCACAAAGGGGGUNCGGUGCGUGUCUUGAAUGUCAAAACGACUCUCGGCAACGGAUAUCUCGGCUCUCGCAUCGAUGAAGAACGUAGCGAAAUGCGAUACUUGGUGUGAAUUGCAGAAUCCCGUGAACCAUCGAGUCUUUGAACGCAAGUUGCGCCCGAAGCCUUCGGGC